RNAcentral lists this ribosomal RNA (482 nucleotides) under uncultured bacterium. RNAcentral's name for it is "partial 16S ribosomal RNA". It matches the Rfam family "Bacterial small subunit ribosomal RNA", at positions 30 to 507 of the family's 1533-position model. The record is from RNAcentral.
AUUGAACGCUGGCGGCAUGCCUUACACAUGCAAGUCGAACGGUAACGGGCCUUCGGGUGCCGACGAGUGGCGAACGGGUGAGUAAUACAUCGGAACGUUCCCGAUCGUGGGGGAUAACGAGGCGAAAGCUUUGCUAAUACCGCAUACGAUCUACGGAUGAAAGCAGGGGACCGCAAGGCCUUGCGCGGACGGAGCGGCCGAUGGCAGAUUAGGUAGUUGGUGGGAUAAAAGCUUACCAAGCCGACGAUCUGUAGCUGGUCUGAGAGGAUGAUCAGCCACACUGGGACUGAGACACGGCCCAGACUCCUACGGGAGGCAGCAGUGGGGAAUUUUGGACAAUGGGCGCAAGCCUGAUCCAGCCAUGCCGCGUGCAGGAUGAAGGCCUUCGGGUUGUAAACUGCUUUUGUACGGAACGAAAAGCCUUCUUUUAAUACAGGAGGGUCAUGACGGUACCGUAAGAAUAAGCACCGGCUAACUACGUG